GAUUAAUCAGCCGAGCGGUCUAAGGCGUUGCACUCAAGCGGUUAGCUUUCCAAGUUGCUUUGAAUCUUGCAAUGGGAUUUAUCCCGCCUGGGUUCGAAUCCCAGUUUGCGCA
This is a non-coding RNA of Microthyrium microscopicum, 112 nucleotides long. The record is from the annotation of a GenBank genome assembly. NCBI's taxonomy places the organism in Eukaryota, Fungi, Ascomycota, Dothideomycetes, Microthyriales, Microthyriaceae.